Molecule: non-coding RNA, 72 nt
Organism: Bos taurus (domestic cattle)
Lineage: Eukaryota; Metazoa; Chordata; Mammalia; Artiodactyla; Bovidae
Source: Rfam
UCCCUGGUGGCUCAGACGGUAAAGCAUCUGCCUGCAAUGCGGGAGACCCGGGUUCGAUUCCUGGGUCGGGAA